This 644-nucleotide ribosomal RNA is filed under the name Thanatephorus sp. AG-13B. Its description in RNAcentral is "eukaryotic LSU rRNA". The stretch from base 209 to 362 matches the Rfam family "5.8S ribosomal RNA". Lineage: Eukaryota; Fungi; Basidiomycota; Agaricomycetes; Cantharellales; Ceratobasidiaceae. The record is from RNAcentral.
UGUCAGAGUUGGUUGUAGCUGGUCUCUGGGAUUAAUUUCUUUGGAGACAAUGUGCACACCUUCUCUUUCAUCCACUCACCCCUGUGCACUUGUGAGGCAGGUUAGUUGGAGGACUUUAUUAAUUUAUUGGACUCCCUCUGUCUACUUAAUUUACACAAACUCCAAUUGAUUUUAAAACGAAUGUAAUUGAUGUAACGCAUCUAAUACUAAGUUUCAACAACGGAUCUCUUGGCUCUCGCAUCGAUGAAGAACGCAGCGAAAUGCGAUAAGUAAUGUGAAUUGCAGAAUUCAGUGAAUCAUCGAAUCUUUGAACGCACCUUGCGCUCCUUGGUAUUCCUUGGAGCAUGCCUGUUUGAGUAUCAUGAAAUCUUCAAAGUAAAAUCUUUUUGUUAAUUCAAUUGGUUUUCUACUUUGGUAUUGAGUCUUUGCAGUUUCACACCUGCUCCUCUUUGUAUAUUAGCUGGAUCUCAGUGUUAUGCUUGGUUCCACUCGGCGUGAUAAGUUAUCUAUCGCUGAGGACACCCGUAAAAAAGGUGGCCAAGGUAAAUGCAGAUGAACCGCUUCUAAUAGUCCAUUGACUUGGACAAUAAAAAUUAUUUUAUGAUCUGAUCUCAAAUCAAGUAGGACUACCCGCUGAACUUAAG